Molecule: long non-coding RNA, 1072 nt
Filed under: Vigna radiata
Lineage: Eukaryota; Viridiplantae; Streptophyta; Magnoliopsida; Fabales; Fabaceae
Description: long non-coding RNA (VRAD_LNC017894)
Source: RNAcentral
AGAAGAAUACAAUAGUUUUGUGUGUUUUACAUCUUUUAUUGUUUUUAUCUUUUGCAUGUUGAUAGUGGACACAUUCGAAAUAAUAUUGCGUAUAGAGAUAAAGGUAAUAAACAAGUAAACAAAGAUAUAAAUUUAAACAAACAACGAAGUAACAAAUAAAACAAAUAAAGUAAAACAACAAUCAAUGACUUGUAUUCAAACACAAAACAGAUUACAUGAAUGUAACCAUGGACUCCUAAGAUGAACUUUAAGAAUCUAGAGAAACUCCCUGUGAUUCUAUACUAUCGUAACUUCUAGGGUACUACACCUAAGUGCAUGCUCGUAGAUGUUGUCAUGUCUACUAUUUCUCUAUUCUCCCCUUUAUUUGAUAAACAUCAAAAGGGAAGGAGAGAAAGGACUCCACAACUCAACAAAGUGAAGAAAGAAAAAAAGAAGAUGGGGAAGAGUACAGGUAGGAGGAAGGGUUAUGAAGGGGGGAACGAAGGUUUAUUGGUGGAACAAAGAAAAAGUAAGGGGAUUGAAGAACACGGGAUGGAUGAAAAGGACGAUGUUGGGGAGGCAAAGGCAGGUGAGGAGAGGUGGUGGUAAAGUGGAAGAACAAUGUGUGUAAGACAAGUAAGUUCUUAGAGUGGAAGGAGGAAAGAAUGUUGGAUUAUCAUGUUCAUGUUGUUUCGGUGAUCGGAUGAGAUGACGAUGACGGUCAAGAGGUUUGGAAGAGGGCUUCAUUGGUUUGGAGUGUUGAAGAUCUGAGAGAUUGAAGAGUUGAGAGGGCAUGACAAUGACAGAGGAAUUAGGGUUUGAAGAGACUGAGUUGGGAGGAUGAGAAGAGAAACACAUUUAAAUAAAGGAAAAUUAAUCAUGAGAGAUUGAUUAGUGUCUUCAAUUUAAUGUGGUUAGUACGAAAAUAUCUAAAAGAGAUUUGCAUCUCUUUAAAUAUCGAGAAGAUUUUUGAGAAGAGUGUUAGUCAACAAUAGAUAAGAGUGGGAGGAGCAGCGAAAUCAAAGAUUUAGGAUUUUGAUGAGGAGAGAGAAACAUUUGGGAAGAUAGAAGGGUUGAUGGUUUAAUUGACACA